AUUGAACGCUGGCGGCAUGCCUUACACAUGCAAGUCGAACGGUAGAAGGAGCAAUCCUUCGAGAGUGGCGAACGGGUGAGUAAUAUAUCGGAACGUGCCCAGUUGUGGGGGAUAACGUAGAGAAAUUUACGCUAAUACCGCAUACGAUCUAAGGAUGAAAGCGGGGGACUCGCAAGAGCCUCGCGCGACUGGAGCGGCUGAUAUCAGAUUAGCUUGUUGGUGAGGUAAAAGCUCACCAAGGCGACGAUCUGUAGCUGGUUUGAGAGAACGACCAGCCACACUGGGACUGAGACACGGCCCAGACUCCUACGGGAGGCAGCAGUGGGGAAUUUUGGACAAUGGGCGCAAGCCUGAUCCAGCAAUGCCGCGUGCAGGAAGAAGGCCUUCGGGUUGUAAACUGCUUUUGUACGGAACGAAACGGCGAGCUCUAAUACAGUUUGCUAAUGACGGUACCGUAAGAAUAAGCACCGGCUAACUACGUGCCAGCAGCCGCGGUAAAAC
Molecule: ribosomal RNA, 501 nt
Filed under: uncultured bacterium
Lineage: Bacteria
Description: bacterial SSU rRNA
Rfam family: Bacterial small subunit ribosomal RNA
Source: RNAcentral